UAUAUAUAUAUAUAUAAACUCAAUAACAAUAAUAUGUUAAUAAUAAUAUAUCAAUUUAAAAACUAAAAACUCAAUUUUUAGCGUUGUUGUAUAGAAAAAUAGAGCAAUAAAUCAAAUAAAUUUAAGCAACUUAGCAGAAUUGCGGAUUAUUUUUUCUUGUUUUAUCUGUGCAGGUUAAUUUAAGCAACUGGACGUGCAAAUUCUGCUCAUAAA
RNAcentral lists this long non-coding RNA (213 nucleotides) under Nicotiana benthamiana. RNAcentral's name for it is "long non-coding RNA (NBEN_LNC000422)". The record is from RNAcentral. Lineage: Eukaryota; Viridiplantae; Streptophyta; Magnoliopsida; Solanales; Solanaceae.